RNAcentral lists this ribosomal RNA (460 nucleotides) under uncultured bacterium. RNAcentral describes it as "partial 16S ribosomal RNA". It matches the Rfam family "Bacterial small subunit ribosomal RNA", at positions 338 to 795 of the family's 1533-position model. The record is from RNAcentral.
CCUACGGGAGGCAGCGGUGAGGAAUAUUGGUCAAUGGACGAGAGUCUGAACCAGCCAAGUAGCGUGAAGGAUGACUGACCUAUGGGUUGUAAACUUCUUUUAUAAAGGAAUAAAACGCGGCACGUGUGCCUUUUUGCAUGUACUUUAUGAAUAAGGAUCGGCUAACUCCGUGCCAGCAGCCGCGGUAAUACGGAGGGUCCGAGCGUUAUCCGGAUUUAUUGGGUUUAAAGGGAGCGUAGGUGGGUUGUUAAGUCAGCUGUGAAAGUUUGCGGCCCAACCGUAAAAGUGCAAUUGAUACUGGCAGUCUUGAGUACAGUUGAGGUAGGCGGAAUUCGUGGUGUAGCGGUGAAAUGCUUAGAUAUCACGCAGAACCCCGAUUGCGAAGGCAGCAUACUGAACUGUGACUGACAUUGAUGCUCGAAAGUGUGGGUAUCAAACAGGAUUAGAUACCCCUGUAGUC